This is a long non-coding RNA of Cuculus canorus (common cuckoo), 2151 nucleotides long. RefSeq lists it as uncharacterized. The record is from RefSeq and is a predicted model, not a curated record. NCBI's taxonomy places the organism in Eukaryota, Metazoa, Chordata, Aves, Cuculiformes, Cuculidae. The transcript is spliced from 4 exons.
GGAGCACCACCCUCUGAGGGACAAGGAAAUCCCUGAGCUGUUUCCAGUUGCUCUCCAUGCAGCUCACAUUGUUCUCCUGUCAGUAGUAGAGAAGGCUGUAGCUGACAGAAAAUACCAGAGGCGAGGACUGGAGAAACAGGACUGAAAAGAAAAGGAAAUGAGAAUGUCUCGAUCAUGUUUUUCACUUACAGUGAUGCCUGUGAUUUGCUGAAGAUAAAAAGUCAUAAAGGCUCAAAUGGAGAAGAAACAUGGGCCUCAUCUAAUAGAGGGAAGAUAUUGCUUAGCUGCAAACAGUACUGCAUUGUGCAGCACCUUUGGCUGGCAAGAGAACAGCGAAUCCCAUUAAGGGAAGAUGAGGGUCAGGGAGAAAAGGGAAGAAUGGUCGUAUGAGCUUUCCAGAGCCAAAGCAGAGAUGAACAGUUUACCAACUCAUGCCUGCGGGGUGAUGAUAUGCUGAGUCACUGUUUCAAAGCGAACUCUAAAAUAAAAUACAGAUUAAAAAAAGUCUGUGCCUCUUCUUCAGCAAAAAUCUCACAAAUUAAACCCUGCAGGAACAAAGGUGAUUCUGAUACGAUCCUGCCCAUGCCCCGGGGGGACAUUAACCGACCAGGCUUGGAUGUACUGCAGCAGGAUGCAAAAGACUGCAUUUGUGUUAGGAAUCACAAUCAGUUCUCAAGAGCCAUACAAGACUUGACUUAUAUGUGAAGAAUGUCAUGAUUACAUCUUUCUGAGACUCACAGAAACUGAACAAUGUAGAUGUUAAGAAAAAUUUCAUUACUUUUAAUAAUGUUUCAUAUCCUAAAGCCGCUACCUGACAGGUCACUUCAUCCGUCUCAGUGUACUCAUGGCUGCACUCUGGCAUACAAUAACUUGGGCUGACAGUUGAGAAAUUCUGCAUGUCCUCAAAAAAAGGAGUGGGGCCUGCUGGCCCAGCUGGGUUGGAAGCUACUGGAGAUAGCAGAACUGGCUACAAAACGCACUCUGGGAUGUAAACUGAACACUGAAAACAUGGCAGCAUCAUAACUUUGCAAAGCCAGGACUCAUUAAAAGAACAAUUUUAUUUCCUGAAUGCCAACAUGGAAGCAACUGUUCAGCACAGCCUGAAAAAGUGGAGCGCCUAUACAAUGAGCCAGAGCAAACAAUUGUUGAGCUGUAUCUUUUCUGCCUUACUGCACAAAAACUGCACAGAAAAUGUUGUUCUCUUCAGCUCUGCUUAAAUCAAGGAGUUCCAAGCAUUCCUUCUGGGGAGCUAUAUCUAAACAGACAAGUUGCUUGGGAAUCAUCAGAGACUCACUAGUCCUAUUGCCUCAGUCUUGUAGUGAUGACAGCAAUUGUUGUCAAGAGGGAAAGGAGGAUACCGUUUCUGAACACAUUUUGUGAAAGCCUGCAUGGGAUCAUAUGCUGUUGUUUUUAGAGAAUGCAUGCACAUCCCUUUUGGUCCCUGUUUCAUUCGCUGUGGUCUGUUCUUUUAUUUUUCCAAUGGUACUCCCUUGAGGGAGUGAGUUAGCUUGUAAUAUCAUGGCUUUUGCCCUGGGAGGAAUUCUAAGUCUUUGAGUGUGUUUGUUGCUCCAAAAUCUGAAUAUGCUACAUAACACCCACGUUUCCAGAGCCCUACACUGAAUAAGGCUUUUGACGGUUUUUAUGGUUAAGCAUUCUCCUCUACAUGUGUCCAAGACUAUGAAGCUCUGAAAAUGGAUGUGGAUGGCCUUACUACACAGCUGGCUGCACUGGAAACAGCCAUCAAUCUAAAAUGCAUAAGAAACCUCAAAGAAUAUGGAACGACCUGUGUGGUGAUGGGGAUUACCCAGCUCUUUCCUUAGAAAUUUAGAACUUCAGAAAGUAGCAUGUAUUACUAGCAAAAAUUUCCACUGAAGUACUGAUGAAAAGUUGAACACUAACUUAACUGGGAGCAGGAUGUGGCCUGCUUUUGGCUGAGGAUGUUUAAGAUGGUAUUUUUACAAAGAUAAACUGUCAUGAGUAGACUUUAAAUACUUUGUAUGCUCUGAUGUUUUCAGAUGAAAACAGCAACUUCAGUUUUUUCAGGCUUCUGUGUGCAGGGGGCAGACCUUGUGUUCUCACCUUGCAAAUAGCAGGAUUGUAAUUUGAACAUUGCUUCUGUGUUCAAAGGAUGGAAAGCUGAGGAUAAAGUGU